RNAcentral lists this ribosomal RNA (114 nucleotides) under Zingiber officinale. Lineage: Eukaryota; Viridiplantae; Streptophyta; Magnoliopsida; Zingiberales; Zingiberaceae. The record is from RNAcentral.
GCGAUCAUGCCAACACUAAUGCACCGGAUCCCAUCAGAACUCCGAAUUUAAGCUUACUUGGGCGAGGCUAGUACAAGGAUGGGUGGCUCUUUGGGAAGUCCUAGUGUUGAACCU